AGUGGCAAUGAGCUCCUUUCAAGGAUGUACCCGAGGAAUACCGGGUUCAAUUCUCAGUGGAAACAACGUUUGGCCAAUGUGCAUGCCUCUACGUACAAGCCGAAUUAGUCGCCCACCGUUGGUGGGUCGGAAACGGUGCGAAAGCCAAGUUUUUCCUCUUUUCCUUUUUCGGUAUGAAAUUCCUAUUCCUAUUUCAGACUUCAUCGAUCGUAUUUUUAAUUUUAAGUGUAUGUGAUGUUGAUUGCAGGUGAAGUGUACAUGUUAUUAUUUUCUAUGAUAUCAAAUAUGGACUGUUAAAUUCAAGAGAUCGUGCGGUUCAAAAUAUUCAAUUGAGAAAUUAAAAAUUUGUGACAUAAGAAAUUUUUCGUGAUUUGCUUUCUUCCCUUGACAUCCCUUUUCGAUCGAGUAAACCCAGAGUAUGUCAUCAAGGAAGACAAAAUCAAAUAAAUUUGAACAAUAGUCAAGGCAUUAAGUUCCACUUAUCAAUCACAAACUAAUUGUCACCCAAACGUUGUUUAAUUUGUGGAACCUAAUUUACGACUGAGGCACUCAAGUUUUUUUUUUCCUUCACAAAAGCAAUCAGUUUUUGAAAAAUGUUUUGAUUAAUACGUCAAGAGAGAACAACACUAAUUAAUUAAAUUUCAUCUUGAAUUCUAUGUUGGGACUUUUCACUGUCCACAUGCUUUCAAAACAAAUGGGCAAUAAAGGGGACUAAUUGGCCACAUUGUGGCUUAACAUAAAUUUAAGAAUCCAUAUGAAUUAAGAAAUUGAACUAAAAUUUAUAAUUUGUUUUAGUCAAAUUGGUUUUGCGUUUUAUAUUUUCAUCGACAAUAUUGUGGUUUUUUUUUUGCCAAAUUGAUUUUAGUCCCUGCACAACUGGUGUUAGAUUUCCUUGAAAUUUUUAUAGACCUGAGGAUCAUUUUGUUCUCCAUGAAAACAAGAAAGACGAAAAGAAACCAAAACGUGACUCACAUGCCUUUCUUACUGAACAUUAUGAACUGUUGGAUCAAUUUGAUUUAAUGGUUGAGCUUUAGUGCAAGUCUUUUUGCUUACAUCUGGUGUGGAUCCUAUCUCUUUAUUAUAGCUAUAGCUAUUUGUAUUAUCGUAUUUUUAUCAUAUGCUCUAAUACGCCAAAAGUUAUGUUGAAUUUAGAUGUGGCUUGAUACUUAAACUCCUAACUAUUGUUUGUCGUGGUCCUUUUUUUUUUUUUUUUUUUUGUGUUAACCAUUUGGUUUCUAGGAAUGGAUCUAGGCAUUGCACCAAAAUUCAUAUAUGAGGGUACCCGCCUAAAUGCAUCCCAAUUCGAUGGGUUUUCCCCCCUUUGACUUGGUUUGAAUAUGAGUUUGGGUUUUCCUCGAUUUUAAAACAUGGGUAUGGGACAUAUUACAGAGAUAUUGAUCCUCACCCCGAACCCAUACCCAAACUCGCCCUCGAAUGUUAAAAAUUACUUUAUUAAUACUCUUUUUAUAUAAAUAAAAACCUAAAUCUUAAACCAUUUCACUUAGUCAGAAUGUCAGCAUGUGUCUGCACUCACUCGAGUUAUCUCUGUUCUUCUUCCACAUCUCACACCCUUAGUAUUUCUCUUCUACAGUACUACAUUUCCAUAGGGGCUGGAGAACACUUCUUUUUCUAUUAAAAAAUUGAUUCGCUUUGGGUAGGGAGAUUGGAUACUUGAACCCGUCAGAGACGGGAAUGAGAUUCAAUUUUUCAUCUCAUUAGGUAUGAGUAUGGUAACAAGUAAAUAUAAGGGAAUUAGGAACGGGAUAGGGAAGGUAAUAUCCGUCCCCACCUCGCCCCAUUUAUCAUGCCUACUGGUAAUUUGGAAUUUGGAAUUCGAUCGUGAGGUAAAUAUAGUCUAACCAAUAAUUGUUUCAUCCAAGAAUUAAACUUGGGUUCUCCUGAACAAUUCGUCAUUUGAUUGAUCUCAUUAAUCACUUGAACCCAAUUAAUUUAGUAGUUUUUUUUGACAAAAUUAAUUUAGUAGUUGUAGCUCAUCUCUGAACCUAAAUCACAUUAUUUUUUACACAAAAAAAAAAAAAGAAUUUUGUUUUAUGUUUUAACUAAGGUUCGAUUUCCAGGAGGAACAACGCUUUGCCAGUGCGCAUGUCUCUACGCAUGAGCUGAAUUAGUCGUCCACCUUUGGUGGGUCGGAAACCGGUGCGAAAGCCAAAAAAAAAAAAAAAAAAAAACAUGUUAUGUUUUUAUUUGAAUGUUUAUUCUAUGUUGAGUGCAGGUUUUGGAUGUCAUUAUUAUUUUUUGGCAUGAUGUUUGUAAUUUGUAUUUCUAUUCUAAAAUUCCUGUUGCUUCAUUUUUGUUUUGUUUUUGUGUUUAACAUAAUUUAUCUUUCCUUUAAUAUAUGAACUAUUUUCUCUUUUUACAUUUGUGUUGUAAGAGUCAAUAUUCUUUUUUUACAUUUGUUUGUGCAAAUUAAUAUUUAUUACGGUAUGUAGUUGAAUGGUUGAAAGUUAACCGAACGAGAUCUGGUUCAAGGCAAAUGAACGAGAUCUGGAUCGUGCUGAAAUUGUUAUACUUCUCAUGUUGGUUUUAGGUUUCACUCCAAACCUCAAAAGUUAACCCUAUAUUUUUUCAAUUAAAAUACAUAUCUGUUCUUGAAUUUUAAUUUGAUUGUUACAACAAUCUUUGUCUUCAUGUGGUGAAAAUUAUCUUGAACAAGAAAUGACUUCAGUGACUCCAGCUAUAAGAGGAAACAAUGGAGAUAAAGUUGAAGUUGUGGAACCAUUUUUGUGGAGACAAAAUGUCUUCAUGUGGUGUUAAGUUUUGGGUUCAAUCUUCACUUGCUUAACUGGCUUAUAUCUUGAAAGUGUGUUGCCAUACUCUUUGCCGUUAUCACAUUGAAAAUAUUUUAUAUCCUUAAUAAUUGUAGUUAGUGGAGUAAUUAAGUGGAUUAUAAUUAAAUUAAUAAGGGUAUAUUAGUGAAAAAUAAUAAUAAAUGUUGCAUCGAUAUUCUGAAAAGACAAUUAUUUUAAGGGUCAUGUUAACUUGUGCCCUUAAGAAAGACAAUUAAAUAAUUUUGUUCCUUAAAUAUUUUGCCAAGGAAGUUCGAAGAACAAAAUGUUUAACAUAGUAAAUAUUCUGAAAAGACAAUUAUUUUAAGGGUCAUAGUUCAAGGAAGUUGAACUUAUUGAAAAAUAAUUAAUAUUAAAUAUUUUGAACAAUAUCAACACAAUUUUCAAAAAAAAAUUAUAUUAGUGGAAUUCUUAACAUUUCCCUUAUUUUAAUACAUAGAAAAAAAUGCUAAAGAUACAAUUAAAAUAAGACGCAGGGAGUAACUAUUAUAAUUACUAUCAUCCACAAUUACAUUUCAGACAAAAUAUUGGGAAAGAAGAAUUUAUAUCAGUGGCUUUGUGAACCGUUUUAUAAGUAUUCCAUAUGUUGAGAUUUUAACUCAGUCCCUUUGAUUACAUUAUCAAUCUCUUAUCACAUAUUUGGAGGACGACGACAACGACAAAGGCGAUCAAUACACACUGAAACAGUAGGAUAUACACACAUACGCAUCCUACAAUCAAAAUCUACCCUACACCUUUUAUGUGCUGUAAUUAAAAUAAAAUAUGUUAGAAUAAAAUAUUUUGUAUAUAAGAUAAACAAGAAAGUUUAAAAGGAUAUGGAAAUGGCUUACCACUGACAUCAGUUACCACAAGAAAAAUGGAAAUAAAGAGAAUCAAUAAAUUAACAUACUUAAUAAUUUUGACCAUUUUUUUCUUCUUCUCUUAAGCUUGCAAUAGAACCAAAUUUAUUGAUCACUUUAUAUUGUAGAAGUUCUAUGUUUUGUUUCUUUGUUUCAAUGAUUUUUAUUGUUUUUAUUUUGCACUUAUUGGUUUUCAAGAAAACGUCUUAGAAUUAAAAUUUAUUAUUAAACAUAUCAUAGGUAAUCAAUUAGUCAAAAUUACACUUAGCUCAAUCGAAAAAGGGUAACCUUCCAUUAUUUUAUUUUAUUUUAUUUUCUUUUUAAUUUCUAUCCUUUUUACGAUAGAUAGGGGCAAACUAUGAAAUAAAACAAAAAUCGAAAUACAAAUUAAAAAACUCAAUAAAAAAAACUCUUGAAUUGUGUCUUUUUUUUAACUAGCAAAAUAUGUUGGUAGAAAAUUGGAUUUCGAAGCUUCUUAUCAAGUGUAAGAAAACACUUUUAUUUAUAAUUAAUUCUUAGAAGUUUUUAUCGUUUGAGCAUUUGAGAGUCUCUUGCUUGUAUGCUUGAACAUUUAUAAUCAGUUGUGAUUAUAGUGAAAAUUCCUUGAAAAUUCAAGGGCAUUAGACUACUUGUGGAUUGUAAAAAGAACCAGCAAAAUUAUUUUGCUCGUGUGUACCAUAUUAAGGCAGACAAUUUUGUAUUAGCGUUUAAAACUUUUUUUUAUCCCCAAAAAAACAUAUUUUACAUAUAUCAUAAACAUUUCCUAAAUAUAGAAAGCAUUUGAGCGGUGAGAAACAUUUUGCUAGGAACAAGUGGAUUGAAAUAACCAUGACCUCUACUUAUGAUAAGAUAAAUUUUGUAAGAAAGAAAAAAGAAAGAAUAUAAGAGAAUAAUUUAUUCUUUAAUGCAUGAUUUGUUAGACAUGACAACAAAACUCAUACAUGCGGGUAUCCGUCCGAACCAAACAUAAAUUGACAAGUUUUCCCCGUUUGACUGAGUUUGGAUAUGAGUUUGAGUUUUCCUCGAUUUUAAAACAUGGGUAUGGGACGGAUAACAGGGAUAUAAGUACCCACCCCGAACCCAUACAAAAACCCGUUCCGAAUGUAUAAAUCAAUUUAUUAUCCAUUUUAUAUAAAUAGAAACUCAAACCCUAAAUCGUUCCUCUCACACAAUCAUAGUCUCAAUUUCUCAGAUGACACUCACUUCUCAAAGUUUUUAUCUCUUCUCGUUCCAUACUCUUACUCUCGGUCUUUCUCUUCCCUGUCACCAUAGCCAUCAAUUGUCAUAAUCUCUUUGUAGGAUAAUGAAUAAACAAUAUUUCUUUUUUUAUUAAAAAAUAUUGUCCACUACAGAGAGGGGGAUGGGGCGAGGAUACCUGAACCAGUCGGGGAUGGGAUGAGAUUCGAUUUCUCAUCCCUGUUAAAUAUGGGUAGGGUAGCUAGUAAGUAUAUGAGAGUAGGGUAUAGGGAUGGAGAAGGUAAAACUUGUCCCCACCCUGCCCAUUGUAAUGCCUAGGCUUUAUGUAGUAAUGUUUUAAGUAAUUUUAGGCUAUUUUGAUGCUGAAAAGGAUAGGAAAAUCAAUUACCAAGGAAUUUAGCAUCGUGCCUCAAUUCUAAAGCAUAAAUCAACAUUUCAAUUCACAUAAUUUUGUGGCGGGAGAGAAGUGCAUCAUGAAACGAUUUGAAGGAGUGUCAAAAUAAAAUUUGAAUUCUGAAACUAAUCGUGACACAAUAUUGCUACAUUGUGGCACAAUGUUACAUUGAUGUUUCCUAACAUAAAAGACAAGUGAAGUAUCACGCCACGAUCUAUGAGUAUCAUGACACAAUUUAUAAAUGUAACUUUAGAUUGGUACGGUUCGGUUUUGAAAUUAAACUAAACAAGGUCUAAUACGUUUUCCAUUUGGUUCAGUUGAAUUUUUUGUUUCGUCAAUUUUGCUUAAACCAUUUACACCCCUAAUAGGAGGAGUUAUCAUAACAUGAAUGUCAAUUUUUUUAAAGAGAAGCAAAAAUUAUUAUCAUAUAAAAAAUGCUAACAUUGUAGCCAUAAGUGCCAUAACAAUGUUUUAUUUCUCAAAAUUGUGUUUACCACCAUACUUUUUACCUAUACUCUUGAUAGUGUGAUAAGUCGUAAUUUAGAUGGUUUUUAAGUGUUUAUUUUAAUAGAAUUCUGUUUGUUUAAAAAAAAAAUUAGAACUAUUUUACUGCAAAUUUGUUCGUUUUAUUUUCAGAAUCACAAAUGAUAGAUGAUCAAGUCUUUGAGCAAAAGAAUGGAUUAAGAUGCAUGAUUGAAGCUUGUUUGAGAAGAAAGCUAAAAAGAGGAAAUUUUGCGCGAUCCCAACCUCCAAAAUGUUGCUGAUUUGGUGCACAAUUAUGUGCUGAUUUGGUCCAUAUUUUUGUGCUGAUUUGGUGCAUAUUUAUGUGCUGAUUUAGUGCAAAUUUAUGUUUGGAUUUGGGCCGUUUUUAUGACCAUUUUAGUGCCUUAUAAUGUGGAACUAUUUCCUUUUCUAGAGGAUGGCUUUUGCUAUUUAUAUAGAGAGAGCAAUCAGACUUCUAAAUCAUCUUUAAAUCUUGGAAUAUUUGUGACAGUUGUUUUUCAUUGAAUCAAAUUGAUCAAAGCUUUAUUUUCUUGUUCUUUAA
This 6282-nucleotide long non-coding RNA is filed under the name Medicago truncatula (barrel medic). RNAcentral describes it as "long non-coding RNA (MTRU_LNC001447)". Lineage: Eukaryota; Viridiplantae; Streptophyta; Magnoliopsida; Fabales; Fabaceae. The record is from RNAcentral.